This 325-nucleotide ribosomal RNA is filed under the name uncultured bacterium. RNAcentral's name for it is "bacterial SSU rRNA". It matches the Rfam family "Bacterial small subunit ribosomal RNA", at positions 28 to 334 of the family's 1533-position model. The record is from RNAcentral.
GACGAACGCUGGCGGCGCGCCUAACACAUGCAAGUCGAACGGAGCUUGCCUGUCAGAUCCUUUCGGGGUGACGACUUGUAAGCUUAGUGGCGAACGGGUGAGUAACACGUGAGUAACCUGCCUCGGAGUGGGGAAUAACAGUUGGAAACAGCUGCUAAUACCGCAUGAUGCAACGGAAUCGCAUGACUCUGUUGCCAAAGAUUUAUCGCUCUGAGAUGGCCUCGCGUCUGAUUAGCUAGUUGGCGGGGUAACGGCCCACCAAGGCGACGAUCAGUAGCCGGACUGAGAGGUUGGCCGGCCACAUUGGGACUGAGACACGGCCCAG